RNAcentral lists this unclassified non-coding RNA (688 nucleotides) under Hevea brasiliensis (rubber tree). Lineage: Eukaryota; Viridiplantae; Streptophyta; Magnoliopsida; Malpighiales; Euphorbiaceae. The record is from RNAcentral.
CUUGCUUUUCUACCUUUCUUUAUGUUGCCGAAUGUAUGGUUGUUGCAUGGUUGUUGAAUGCUUGUUGAAUGGCUUACGCAUGGUUGUGAUUGUGGCUUGAGCUUGCGUGAAGUUGGGUUUCAUUUGUUGGUUCCUUGCUUGCCGUGCGUGGAUUUGCAUGCUUGCCACCUCAUUGCCGUGAGGUCCAUUGUGUUGCCUAGCUUGUCUACUUGUGUUGCGCAUGGUUGAGGUUAGUAACUUGUCAUUUAUGGUAACUUCAUGCUUGAGUUGAUUGUGUUGCUUGCGUGAGGAUACUUGUGGUAGCUUGGUGUUGAGCUUGUUGCUUGGUUGCCUUGUGUUGCGGUUUGGAUGUUGAGGUGCAUUAUUGGGCUGUUUGUUAUUAUUGCGUGAGUAUCUUGUUGCUUGUGGGGUUGUUGUUUCCGCCAUUGUUUAAGUUUGGUAGUAAACUUAUUGUUGCCGUGGGACACUUUGAUGACUUGGUGUUUGGAGUGACUUGUUGCCGUGAGGUUCAGUUUGAGCUUUGGGUGACUUAUUUGCCGUGAGGUUCUUGAAGUUGGGGUGACUUGCGUGAACCUUUGGUGGUGUGAUUGGUUGCCGUGAUCCUUGUGAGAGUUUGGGUUGUUGGCAUCACACCUUGUGGACGUGAGGUUCCCUUUGUGUUUGGGAUUGGUUGCCGUGAGUUGGUGAU